This 307-nucleotide ribosomal RNA is filed under the name uncultured bacterium. RNAcentral's name for it is "partial 16S ribosomal RNA". It matches the Rfam family "Bacterial small subunit ribosomal RNA", at positions 506 to 807 of the family's 1533-position model. The record is from RNAcentral.
AGACAGCAGCAGCCACGGGAAUACGUAGGGUGCGAGCGUUAAUCGGAAUUACUGGGCGUAAAGCGUGCGCAGGCGGUUCGUUAAGACAGAUGUGGAAUCCCCGGGCUUAACCUCGGAACUGCCUUUGAUACUGGAAGUCUUGAGUGUGGAAGAGGUAAGUGGAAUUGCGAGUGUAGAGGUGAAAUUCGUAGAGAUGUGGAGGAACACCAGUGGCGAAGGCGACUCUCUGGUCUGUAACUGACGCUGAGGAGCGAAAGCGUGGGGAGCGAACAGGAUUAGAUACCCCCGUAGUCCCUGUCUCUUAUAC